This 458-nucleotide ribosomal RNA is filed under the name uncultured bacterium. RNAcentral describes it as "bacterial SSU rRNA". It matches the Rfam family "Bacterial small subunit ribosomal RNA", at positions 339 to 794 of the family's 1533-position model. The record is from RNAcentral.
UUACGGGAGGCAGCAGUGAGGAAUAUUGGUCAAUGGGCGCAAGCCUGAACCAGCCAUCCCGCGUGAAGGAAGAAGGCGCUAUGCGUUGUAAACUUCUUUUUCAGGGGAAGAAAAUCUUCUACGUGUAGAGGAUUGACGGUACCCUGUGAAUAAGCAUCGGCUAACUCCGUGCCAGCAGCCGCGGUAAUACGGAGGAUGCAAGCGUUAUCCGGAUUUAUUGGGUUUAAAGGGUGCGUAGGCGGAUUAAUAAGUCAGUGGUGAAAACCUGCAGCUUAACUGUAGAACUGCCAUUGAUACUGUUAGUCUUGAGUACGGUCAAGGUAGGCGGAAUGUGUAAUGUAGCGGUGAAAUGCUUAGAUAUUACACAGAACACCAAUUGCGAAGGCAGCUUACUGGGCCACAACUGACGCUGAGGCACGAAAGCGUGGGGAGCGAACAGGAUUAGAUACCCUGGUAGA